ACGUUCAUUAUCAUGUUAGAUUUACGAGGGUAGGUACUCAAGGGGGUGUGGUCACGCUGAGUGGCAGAUGCCACCGAUCCUUAAACAAAUACACUACAACGCUACUGCAGUGAACAGUGUUGGCAUCCGCGUCACAUUCGCUUCACUUGGUCGAAAAAUAAGCCGGUGUUCUGACUGAUGGGACAUUUGUGGUUUCACAUUUUGUCCUGACUGCGAAGUUUCUCAUUACUGAAAGCUCCAUAAAACUGGAUGCACAGCUCUGGUCCACGCAGAAAAGCGAGAUGAGGAGGAGGAAUGAGAGAAGAGGAGAUUUACGUAGAGGUUCGAGGAUCAGACGUCAUCCACCACAUCACAAUGACGGCAGGCUCCACGGCAACCAGCAAUUUUAAGCGACUGAGAAAGUCACAGAGGGAAAAUAGAGACAUAAUUUGAAUACAUUUUCAGCCACUUCUGUUACUCUAGUGUCAGAAAAUAGGUUGUAUUGAUGUAACGCGUGCAGGUAUUAUGCUCUUAGUAUUCUCACUCUAAACAAGACAUGAAAGGAAGUAAACUGUCAUACAGGAAGUAAGAGAGAAUGAGGACUGGACUGUUUGUUCCUUUUAGACGUCUGAUUCUGUAACUGUUACUGAAAUCUCUCCACUCCAUUUGCUAGUCUGCCACA
Molecule: long non-coding RNA, 661 nt
Filed under: Sinocyclocheilus grahami
Lineage: Eukaryota; Metazoa; Chordata; Actinopteri; Cypriniformes; Cyprinidae
Description: lncRNA (ENSSGRG00000012030.1)
Source: RNAcentral